AUGUGGAUGGCUCUGCCACACAAGCAAAUACCCCAAAAUUCCCUAAAAUGCGCCCAUGACUACGUAGACACUGCAAGAACCGGACAAGCCCCAAAGCACGCCCUCCAUUCUCCGAGAACGGGCGAUCGGGAAGGAGCGCGGAGCGACGCGGAGGCCCGGCGGGCCCAGCCCCGUCCCAGAGCUCAGCAGAAGCAGAGAGAGGCCCCGCCGCUCCGGAGGCCCAGCCGCACCCGCCAGGCGGUCAGGAGCAGGCACCGUCGGGGUCGCGCCGGGCGCGUCACUUCCGGAGGCGGGGCGGACUGCUCCGCACGCCUGCGUACUCCCGGCCGAGCGGCGCCCGGCGAGCAGCGGCCGGAUUGGGCCGCGCCGGAGGGCGCGCGGCGCAAACUCGCUUCCCAGCGGCCCCCGCGGCUCGUCCCGCGGCGGCGCGCACGUCCGCGCGCUCGCAGCCCGCGCCUGCGCCGAGCCGCCAUUCGGGAGGCCGCCGCGCCGCAGGGCCUCGCGGAGCAGCCCGGGACUGCGAGCCCGGCUCCCCCCGUCCUUCUCGGGUGUGGACGUCGCCGCGGCCCACCGGUGAGGAGCGGGGCGGGGCGUCGUCCGGGCUGGGCGCCGUCGCCGGCUCGGGUCCCUCUGAGGAGGCCCGCCCGGGGCGUGCGGCGAGGAGCGGCCUGCGCCGAGUCCGCGGGCGGGUGGGCCUCGGGCCGAGGCGGGCCCCGCGGCGUCGGCGUCGGCGGGGGCGGGAAGCGCAGCGCGACUCCCCUCGGGGAGGGCCGGGCCGGGCCGGGCGGGCGGGCCCCGCGAGGGAGGCACGCGCUCCACUUCGACUCGGGACGCGGCUCUCGCUGCCCUGGUCGGCGCGCGCUUUUGUCAUUGUUGCCGCUUGGAAACGGGCUGGGCAGCCCCGAAGCAGCCGGCCGGGGCUGGUGUCCACGGCGUGCGCGGAGAGCGGCGCCUCGGCGACUCGAGAGCCCGGCGUGCACGCGGCCGCGGGACGUGGGUCCGCUCGGGAGAAGCGGGGGCUGCCCGGGGCACUCCGGGCGCGCGGCCGCCGGCGGUCAGGGGGGCGCAAACCCGAGCGUGUGCCGCCCUGCCGGGGGGGGGGGGGGGGGCGGUCCGCGGGGGCGCGGAGGGCCCCGAGCCCGCGAGCCACAGCCGGGAUCCUGCAGCCCCGCUCCUGCCUCUUCACGCCGAAGAGCUGAAGCCGGGACCACGGCAGCUUUGUUCAGAGGAGCCAAAGGGGGAAAUAGUCCGAGUGUCCAUCGAGUCGGUUGUGGUCUUUGCGGUGGAAUGUGA
Molecule: long non-coding RNA, 1293 nt
Filed under: Canis lupus familiaris (dog)
Lineage: Eukaryota; Metazoa; Chordata; Mammalia; Carnivora; Canidae
Description: lncRNA (ENSCAFG00030021706.1)
Source: RNAcentral